GCUUGUUUCUGUUUUUCUUCUCUCUCUCUCUGUGUGUGUGGACUCCACAACCACCCAGAGAAGCUUUGUUGUUUUUUUUCCCCCUUCUUCUCUUCUCUGUAUCGUUUCGAGUGAGGAGUGGGAAAGAAAAGAGAGUUCCCCCCCCUUAAAAACAAACAAAAAACAACAACAAUUCACCAAGG
RNAcentral lists this non-coding RNA (182 nucleotides) under Paramoeba aestuarina. Lineage: Eukaryota; Discosea; Flabellinia; Dactylopodida; Paramoebidae. The record is from RNAcentral.